GGAACUCAGCACUCAGUCCCCUUUGAAUUCUUUGAAGGCCCUCUGAAGAAGAAUGAGUACAAGCAAGGCCAGACUGUGAAGACUGGAAUAAAUAAGAAACUCUUCAGUGUUCAGACAUGUACAAAUAUCCACAAGUAUUGAGAACAUUCAAGAAAAUAUGAUCUCAUCAAAUGGACUAAAUAAGCUGCCCAGUGACCAGCCCUGGAGUGAUAGAGAUCUAUCAGAUAGGGAAUACCUUUCAGACAGGGAAUUCAAAAUAUCUGUCUUGAAGAAGCUCAAAGAAUGUCAAGAAAACAUGAAGAAAGAAUUCAGAAUUUUAGCAGAGAAAUUUAACAAAGAGAUUGAAAUAAUUACCAAAAAAAAAAAAAAAAAUCAAACAGAAAUCCUAGUGCUGAAAAAGACAAUGGAUGAACUGAAAAAUACAUCAGAAUAUAACAACAGCAUAAUUGAUUAAGCAGAAGAAUUUGUUAGCUUAAAUACAGGCUAUUGAAAAUACAGAGGAGAAAAAAGAAAAAGAAUGAACUGUGCUUAAAAGAUAUAGAAAAUAGCCACAAAAGGGCAAGUCUAAGAGUGAUUACCUUUAAAAAGGGAGUAGAGAAAGAUGUAGGGAUAGACAGUUAAUUCAAAGAAAUAAUUAUAGAGUACUUUCCAAAUAUAUAUAUAUUCAUAUAUAUGAUUCAUAUUCAUAUAUAUAUUCAUAUAGAUAUAUGAUUCAUAUUCAUAUAUAUAUGAAUAUCCAGGUAUAAGAAAGUCAAAGAAUGCCAACCAGAUUCAACACAAGACAUAUAACAAUCAAACUCUCAAAGGUCAAAGAUGAAAAAGAGGAAAGGUAGCAAGAGAAAAGAAACAAAUAACAUAUAAAGGAACUCCAGUAGAUUGGCAGCAGUCUUCUCAGCAGAAAUCUCAUAGGCCAGAAGAAAGUGAAAAGACGUAUUUAAAGUGCUGAAGGGAACCAUCUUCAACCAAGAAUAUUCUAGUCAUCAAAUAUAUUCUUCAACCAUGAAGGCGAAAUAAAGGCUUUCCCAGCAAACAAAAGCUGAGGGAAUUCAUCAAUACCAGGCCUGUCUUACAAGAAAUAGUAAAGAGAGUUCAUCAGUCUGAAAGAAAAGAAUGCUAAUGUGCAACAAGAAAUCAUCUGAAGGAGUAAAACUUACUGGCAAAAGUAAAUACACAGACAAAUUGAGAAUAUUUUAACACUGUAGUUCUGGUGUGUGAACCCCUCAUAUCUUUAGUGUGAGCACUAAAAUACAAAUCUGUCAAGAAUGAUGACUGAAUAGCUUUUUAGGAGAUAUAUAAAAAGAUAUAAAGUGAGACAACGAAAAGAAAAGGAGUGAUGAGUUAUAGUGUAGAGAUUUUUAGUUUAUUCUUUGCUUAUUUCUUUUCAUUGUGAUCAAAGUCAAGUUGUCAUCAGUUUAAAAUAACUUGCUGUAACUGUAAGAUACUUUUUAUGUCUCAUGGCAACCAUAAUGCAAAAAUUUAUAGUAGAGAUACUAAAAACAAAAAGCAAAGGAUUAAAUCAUACUACCAGAGAAAAUCACUUAUCCACAAAAAAGGGAGUAAGAAAAUUAGAGAAGACUUAGAAAACAAAUAACAAAAUGGAAGUAGUAAGUCCCUAACUAUAAAUAUAAGAUUUAAUGUAAAUGGAUGAAAUUCUUCAACUAAAAGACAUAGAGUAGUUGAAUGGAUUGAAAAAAAAAAAGACCCAACUAUAUGCUGCCUACAAGAAAACUCACUACACCUAUAAAGAUGUACAGACUGAGAGUGAAGGGAUAGAAAAAGAUAUGCCAUGCAAAUGAAAACCAAAAUGGAACAGGUCUAGCUAUAUUUAUAUCAGGUAAAAUAAUUAUUUUUAAAUAAUGCAGUUUUUCAAGUUAAAAACUAAAAAAGAGAAAGUAAUUAUAUAAUGAAAAAAGUCAAUUUAGAAAGAUGUAACAAUUGUAAAUAUAUAUGACCCCAACAUUAGGGCACGCACAAACACAUAAAGCAAAUAUUAGUAGAUCAAAAGGAUAGACUUCAAUACAGUAAUACCAGAGAACUUCAACACCUCAUCUUCAGCAAUGGGCAGAUCAUUCAGAGAAUACAUUAACAAAGAAAAAAACCCAAAAGAAACUAAAGCAAAAAACCUAAAACUAAAACAAAGAAGAAAACUAAAACAAAGAAAUUAAACUCAAAAUUGGUAGAAGGAAAUAAAGAUCAGAGCAGAAAUAAAUGAAAUAGAGAUUUUAAAGUACAAAAGAUCAACAAAACGAGUUUUUUUUAUUUUAAUUUUUAGUUCUGGGGUACAUGUGCAGAAUGUGGAGGUUUGUUAAAUAGGUAAACAUGUGCCAUGGUGAUUUGCUGCACCUAUCAACCCAUCACCUAGGUAUUAAGCCCAGCAUAUAUUAGCCAUUUUUCCUAAUGCUCUCCCUCCCCCAGCCCCAUCCCUCGACAGGCCCCAGUGUGUAUUGUUCCCCUCCCUGUGUCCAUGUGUUCUCAUUGUUCAGCUCCCACUUAUAAGUGAGAACAUGUGGUGUUUGGUUUUCUGUUCCUGCAUUAGUUUGCUAAGGAUAAUGGCUUCUAGCUUCAUCCAUGUCCCUGCAAAGGACAUGAUCUCAUUCUUUUUUUUUUUUUUUUUUUUGAGGUGGAGUUGCACUCUUGUUGCCCAGGCUGGAGUGCAAUGGUGUAAUCUCGGCUCACCACAACCUCUGCCUCCCGGGUUCAAGUGAUUCUCCUGCCUCAGCCUCCUGAGUAGCUGGGAUUACAGGCAUGCGCCACCACGCCCGGAUAAUUUUUUGUAUUUUUAGUAGAGACGGAGUUUCUCCGUGUUGGUCAAGCUGAUCUCGAACUCCUGGCCACAGGUGACCUGCCCACCUCGGCCUCCCAAAGUGCUGGGAUUACAGGCGUGUGCCACUGCGCCCAGUCUAGCUCAGUACUUUGUAUGAACACAUAGUUUGCAUUAAGGUUGAACUGCAUAUAUGGUUUUACUUAAGGGUAUAUGCUUAAGUGAAAAAGGCAUGGGUCAGAAGAGUGUACAAAGGAUGCUGAAUUAUUUGAAGCCAGCAGAGGCAUAUGUAUAUAGGGACAGACAGGUGGGGAAACAGAAAUGAAAGUUAGGAUUCUAUGGAAUUAUUCUGUGAUAUAUCUUUGGGUUUUUACAAACAUAAAUACUUUAUAUAAUUCCUAAAUAAUGUUCAAUUAAAAUGAAAUUAUAAAAUCCAUAAAACUCAGGGGUUCUACACUCACAAAGGAAUAGAAAUAAAACAAGGGAAAUAUUUAAAAGAUAUAAGAUCUAUCAAAGUUAAUAACAUUAUUGUGAUAUUAUACUAUAAUUUGCAAAUGUAACCAUGAGGAAAAACUGGGCGAUAUGGGCCAGGCUCUUUCUGUUUUAUUUCCUACAACUGCUUGUGAAUCUAUAAUUAUUUCAAUAAAAUUUUCAAUUAAAUAGCCCAGUGAUAUGUAAGAUGAAAAUAAGAUAUUGUAAAACCUUGUCUUAAUCAUAUCUUGGUAAACACCAUUGGGUAUUGAUGAAUUGAAACAAAUAAACCUACAAUGUAAUUGGUAGCAAAGCUUUCACCAUAGAACAAAGCAAGUACAAAUGCUAACUCAAAUAAUUUAAAUAAUCUCUAAACUACAAAAAUUUUUGGAAGACUAAACUAACUCAUUUUAUUUUAAAUAUAUAUUUUGUAUUAAUUUCUAUAGAAAAUACAUUGUGAUUUGACUGCAUAGUAAUAAUCAUUGUAAUCUAUAAAUUAAUCAUCAAAGAAAUAGCAACCACAAAGAUUGGAAUCUCAACACAUAUGUUAAAAAGAAGUCCUAGGCCGGGCGCGGUGGCUCACGCCUGUAAUCCCAGCACUUUGGGAGGCCGAGACGGGCAGAUCACGAGGUCAGGAGAUCAAGACCAACCUGGCUAAUAUGGUGAAACCCCGUCUCUACUAAAAAUACAAAAAAUUAGCCAGGCGUGGUGGCGGGCGCCUGUAGUCCCAGCUACUGGGGAGGCUGAGGCAGGAGAAUGGCGUGAACCCGGGAGGCGGAGCUUGCAGUGAGCCGAGGUGGCGCCACUGCACUCCAGCCUGGGCGACACAGCGAGUCUCCGUCUCAAAAAACAAAAACAAAAUACCAAUACUAUGCUGUUUUGGAUACUAUGGCUGUGUAAGGUGUUGAAGUCAGGUAGUGUGAUGCUCCAGGUUUGUUCUUUUGGCUCAGGAUUGCUUUGGCUAUUUGGGCUCUUUUGAAGAUCCAUACAAAUUUUAGAAUUUUUUUCUAUAUCUGUGAAAAAAUGGCAUUUGUAUGUUGAUUGGGCUUGCAUUAAAUCUUUAGAUUGUUUUGGGUAGUACUGUCUGUUAUUUUAACAAUAUGUAUUCUUUGAAUACAUGAGCAUGGGAUGUCUUUCCAUUUGUUUGUGUCCUCUUCAGUUUAUUUUAUCAAUGCUUUGUAGUUUUCCUUGAUGUCUUUCCCCUCUUGAUUAAAUAUUUCUCAGUGUUCUAUUUUAUUUUAUUUUGCUUUUUAUAGCUAUUGCAAAUGGAAUUGCCUUCUUGAUUUCUGUUUUGGCUAUUUCAUUAUUGGUGUACCGCAAUGCUACUGAUUUUUGUAUAUUGAUUUUGUGUCUUACAACUAUAUUAAAUUUGUUCCCCAGUUCUAAGAGUUUAUAAGAUCAUAUUACAACAAAGAAAAACAAUUUUACUUUAUAUUUUCUCACCCGAAUAUCUUUUAUUUAGUUAGCUAGGUAUUUUUCUUGCCUGAUUUCUCUGGCUAGGACCUCUAGUACUAUACUGAAUAGGAGUGGCAAAAAUAGGUAUCUUAUACAUGACAUUCAGAAAUGUGCACACAUUAUAGUGGUAUGCUUCAAUACAUUUUUCUUGUAGGUCAACACAUCUCUGAAGGCAGGACACAUUCAAAGAAAGUCCAAAAAGACCAACACCACAUGGUCAUGGUCUCACUUGUAUGCAGAAUUUAGGCAAGUUGAGUUUAUAAAAGUAGAGAGUAGAAUGGUGGUUACCAGAGGCUAAAGAGAUAGAGGGCAAACUGAAAAACGGGAGGUUUUUGUGAAAGCAUACGAAGUUUCAGUUAGACACAAGGAAUGUGUUCUAGUGAUCUGUUGCACGGCGUGGUGACUAUUGUUAAUGUCUAUUCCAAAAUUGCCAAAAGAGUAGAUUUUAAAUGUUCUCAUCAGAAAGAAAUGAUAAGUAUGUGAGGAGAUGUGUAUUAAAACAUAAUGACGGA
RNAcentral lists this long non-coding RNA (5199 nucleotides) under Homo sapiens (human). Its description in RNAcentral is "HSALNT0262903". The record is from RNAcentral. Lineage: Eukaryota; Metazoa; Chordata; Mammalia; Primates; Hominidae.